Molecule: unclassified non-coding RNA, 372 nt
Filed under: uncultured bacterium
Lineage: Bacteria
Description: contains 16S-23S intergenic spacer region
Source: RNAcentral
UCCGGCUCAACGCCGGCAGUCUCUCUAGAGUCCCCACCAUUACGUGCUGGCAACUAGAAACGGGGGUUGCGCUCGUUGCGGGACUUAACCCAACACCUCACGACACGAGCUGACGACAGCCAUGCACCACCUGUGUACCACCUUCGAAAGCGGCCCCUUUUCGGGGGAUUGCAGGUACAUGUCAAGCCCUGGUAAGGUUCUUCGCGUUGCAUCGAAUUAAGCCAUAUGCUCCACCGCUUGUGCGGGCCCCCGCCAAUUCCUUUGAGUUUCAACCUUGCGGCCGUAGUCCCCAGGCGGUUCACUUAAUGCGUUAGCUGCGGCACUGAGGGAAACCCCCAACACCUAGUGAACAUAGUUUAGGGCCAAGACUAC